RNAcentral lists this ribosomal RNA (1425 nucleotides) under uncultured bacterium. RNAcentral's name for it is "bacterial SSU rRNA". It matches the Rfam family "Bacterial small subunit ribosomal RNA". The record is from RNAcentral.
AGAGUUUGAUCCUGGCUCAGAACGAACGCUGGCGGCAGGCUUAACACAUGCAAGUCGAGCGAAGACUUCGGUCUUAGCGGCGGACGGGUGAGUAACGCGUGGGAACGUGCCUUUCACUACGGAAUAGUCCCGGGAAACUGGGUUUAAUACCGUAUACGCCCUUCGGGGGAAAGAAUUUCGGUGAGAGAUCGGCCCGCGUCUGAUUAGGUAGUUGGUGGGGUAAUGGCCUACCAAGCCGACGAUCAGUAGCUGGUUUGAGAGGAUGAUCAGCCACACUGGGACUGAGACACGGCCCAGACUCCUACGGGAGGCAGCAGUGAGGAAUCUUGGACAAUGGGGGCAACCCUGAUCCAGCCAUGCCGCGUGAACGAUGAAGGCCUUAGGGUUGUAAAGUUCUUUCAACGGCGAAGAUAAUGACGGUAGCCGUAGAAGAAACCCCGGCUAACUCCGUGCCAGCAGCCGCGGUAAUACGGAGGGGGUUAGCGUUGUUCGGAAUUACUGGGCGUAAAGCGCACGUAGGCGGACUAUUAAGUCAGGGGUGAAAUCCCGGGGCUCAACCCCGGAACUGCCUUUGAUACUGGUAGUCUAGAGUUCGAGAGAGGUGAGUGGAAUUCCGAGUGUCGCGGUGAAAUACGUAGAUAUUCGGAGGAACACCAGUGGCGAAGCCGUCACACUGGCUCGAUACUGACGCUGAGUUGCGAAAGCGUUGCGAGCAAACAGGAUUAGAUACCCUGGUAGUCCAACCCGUAAACGAUGAAUGCCAGUCGUCGGGAAGCAGGCACCACGGUGACACACCUAACGGGUUAAGCAUUGCGACUGGGGUGAACGGUCGCAAGACGUAAACCAAGCGUUUGAGUAUGUGGUUUAAUUCGAAGCAACGCGCAGAACCUUACCAACCCUUGACAUCCUGAUCGCGGUUACCGGAGACGGUUUCCUUCAGUUCGGCUGGAUCAGUGACAGGUGCUGCAUGGCUGUCGUCAGCUCGUGUCGUGAGAUGUUCGGUUAAGUCCGGCAACGAGCGCAACCCACAUCCUUAGUUGCCAGCAGUUCGGCUGGGCACUCUAGGGAAACUGCCGAUGAUAAGUCGGAGGAAGGUGUGGAUGACGUCAAGUCCUCAUGGCCCUUACGGGUUGGGCUACACACGUGCUACAAUGGCAGUGACAAUGGGUAGCCACCCCGCAAGGGGGCGCUAAUCCCAAAAAGCUGUCUCAGUUCGGAUUGUUCUCUGCAACUCGAGAGCAUGAAGUCGGAAUCGCUAGUAAUCGCGUAACAGCAUGACGCGGUGAAUACGUUCCCGGGCCUUGUACACACCGCCCGUCACACCAUGGGAGUUGGUUCUACCCGACGACGCUGCGCUAACCUUCGGGGGGCAGGCGGCCACGGUAGGAUCAGCGACUGGGGUGAAGUCGUAACAAGGUAGCCGUA